UACGAAGGGGGCGAGCGUUGUUCGGAUUUACUGGGCGUAAAGGGCGCGCAGGCGGCGCAUUUUGUCAGGCGUGAAAGCCCCGGGCUUAACCUGGGAACUGCGUUUGAUACGGAUGGGCUAGAGUUCGGGAGAGGAGAGUGGAAUUCCCAGUGUAGAGGUGAAAUUCGUAGAUAUUAGGAAGAACACCAGUGGCGAAGGCGGCUCACUGGUCCGGUACUGACGCUGAGGUGCGAAAGCGUGGGGAGCAAACAGG
RNAcentral lists this ribosomal RNA (253 nucleotides) under uncultured bacterium. Its description in RNAcentral is "partial 16S ribosomal RNA". It matches the Rfam family "Bacterial small subunit ribosomal RNA", at positions 524 to 776 of the family's 1533-position model. The record is from RNAcentral.